GUGUAUAUAAUGCAGAGUGUGUGUGUAUAUAAUGCAGAGUGUGUGUUUGUAUGAGUGUGUGUGUAUAUAAUGCAGAGUGUGUGCAUUAUAUACACACACACACACUGCAUUAUAAACACACACACACACACACACUCUGCAUUAUAUACACACACUCAUACAAAUACUCUGUGUGUGUGUACAUAAUGCAGUGUGUGUUUGUGUGAAUGCAGAGUGUGUAU
Non-coding RNA from Pelobates cultripes (western spadefoot toad), 221 nucleotides. The record is from the annotation of a GenBank genome assembly. Lineage: Eukaryota; Metazoa; Chordata; Amphibia; Anura; Pelobatidae.